AGUUUGAUCCUGGCUCAGAUUGAACGCUGGCGGCAUGCCUUACACAUGCAAGUCGAACGGCAGCACGGAGCUUGCUCUGGUGGCGAGUGGCGAACGGGUGAGUAAUAUAUCGGAACGUACCCUAGAGUGGGGGAUAACGUAGCGAAAGUUACGCUAAUACCGCAUACGAUCUAAGGAUGAAAGUGGGGGAUCGCAAGACCUCAUGCUCGUGGAGCGGCCGAUAUCUGAUUAGCUAGUUGGUAGGGUAAAAGCCUACCAAGGCAUCGAUCAGUAGCUGGUCUGAGAGGACGACCAGCCACACUGGAACUGAGACACGGUCCAGACUCCUACGGGAGGCAGCAGUGGGGAAUUUUGGACAAUGGGCGAAAGCCUGAUCCAGCAAUGCCGCGUGAGUGAAGAAGGCCUUCGGGUUGUAAAGCUCUUUUGUCAGGGAAGAAACGGUGAAAGCUAAUAUCUUUUGCUAAUGACGGUACCUGAAGAAUAAGCACCGGCUAACUACGUGCCAGCAGCCGCGGUAAUACGUAGGGUGCAAGCGUUAAUCGGAAUUACUGGGCGUAAAGCGUGCGCAGGCGGUUUUGUAAGUCUGAUGUGAAAUCCCCGGGCUCAACCUGGGAAUUGCAUUGGAGACUGCAAGGCUAGAAUCUGGCA
RNAcentral lists this ribosomal RNA (648 nucleotides) under uncultured bacterium. Its description in RNAcentral is "bacterial SSU rRNA". It matches the Rfam family "Bacterial small subunit ribosomal RNA", at positions 10 to 653 of the family's 1533-position model. The record is from RNAcentral.